Molecule: ribosomal RNA, 253 nt
Filed under: uncultured bacterium
Lineage: Bacteria
Description: partial 16S ribosomal RNA
Rfam family: Bacterial small subunit ribosomal RNA
Source: RNAcentral
UACGUAGGUGGCAAGCGUUAUCCGGAUUUAUUGGGCGUAAGGGGAACGCAGGCGGUCUUUUAAGUCUGAUGUGAAGGCCUUCGGCUUAACCGGAGUAGUGCAUUGGAAACUGGGAGACUUGAGUGCAGAAGAGGAGAGUGGAACUCCAUGUGUAGCGGUGAAAUGCGUAGAUAUAUGGAAGAACACCAGUGGCGAAAGCGGCUCUCUGGUCUGUAACUGACGCUGAGGUUCGAAAGCGUGGGUAGCAAACAGG